This 721-nucleotide ribosomal RNA is filed under the name Staphylococcus aureus. Its description in RNAcentral is "bacterial SSU rRNA". It matches the Rfam family "Bacterial small subunit ribosomal RNA", at positions 186 to 893 of the family's 1533-position model. Lineage: Bacteria; Bacillati; Bacillota; Bacilli; Caryophanales; Staphylococcaceae. The record is from RNAcentral.
CCGCAUGGUUCAAAAGUGAAAGACGGUCUUGCUGUCACUUAUAGAUGGAUCCGCGCUGUAUUAGCUAGUUGGUAAGGUAACGGCUUACCAAGGCAACGAUACAUAGCCGACCUGAGAGGGUGAUCGGCCACACUGGAACUGAGACACGGUCCAGACUCCUACGGGAGGCAGCAGUAGGGAAUCUUCCGCAAUGGGCGAAAGCCUGACGGAGCAACGCCGCGUGAGUGAUGAAGGUCUUCGGAUCGUAAAACUCUGUUAUUAGGGAAGAACAUAUGUGUAAGUAACUGUGCACAUCUUGACGGUACCUGAUCAGAAAGCCACGGCUAACUACGUGCCAGCAGCCGCGGUAAUACGUAGGUGGCAAGCGUUAUCCGGAAUUAUUGGGCGUAAAGCGCGCGUAGGCGGUUUUUUAAGUCUGAUGUGAAAGCCCACGGCUCAACCGUGGAGGGUCAUUGGAAACUGGAAAACUUGAGUGCAGAAGAGGAAAGUGGAAUUCCAUGUGUAGCGGUGAAAUGCGCAGAGAUAUGGAGGAACACCAGUGGCGAAGGCGACUUUCUGGUCUGUAACUGACGCUGAUGUGCGAAAGCGUGGGGAUCAAACAGGAUUAGAUACCCUGGUAGUCCACGCCGUAAACGAUGAGUGCUAAGUGUUAGGGGGUUUCCGCCCCUUAGUGCUGCAGCUAACGCAUUAAGCACUCCGCCUGGGGAGUACGACCGCAAGG